GACGAACGCUGGCGGCGUGCUUAACACAUGCAAGUCGAACGGAAAGGCCCUGCUUUUGUGGGGUGCUCGAUUGGCGAACGGGUGAGUAACACGUGAGUAACCUGCCCUUGACUUUGGGAUAACUUCAGGAAACUCGGGCUAAUACCGGAUAGGAGCUCCUGCUGCAUGUUGGGGGUUGGAAAGUUUCGGCGGUGGGGGAUGGUCUCGAUGCUUAUCAGCUUGUUGGUCUGGUAGUGGCUUACCAAGGCUUUGACGGCUAGCCGGCAUGAGAGGUGGACCGGCCACAUUGGGACUGAGAUACGCACCAGACGCCAACGGGAGGCAGUAGUGGGGAACAUGGCAGAAUGGGCGGAAGCCUGAUGCAGCAACCUCGCGUGCGGGAUGAUGGCUUUUGGGUUGUAAACCGCUUUCGACGGUGACGAAGAGUGAGUGACGGUAACGGGUAAAGAAGCAACGGCUAACUACGUG
This 468-nucleotide ribosomal RNA is filed under the name uncultured bacterium. RNAcentral describes it as "partial 16S ribosomal RNA". It matches the Rfam family "Bacterial small subunit ribosomal RNA", at positions 28 to 507 of the family's 1533-position model. The record is from RNAcentral.